Molecule: ribosomal RNA, 491 nt
Filed under: uncultured bacterium
Lineage: Bacteria
Description: partial 16S ribosomal RNA
Rfam family: Bacterial small subunit ribosomal RNA
Source: RNAcentral
GAUGAACGCUGGCGGCGUGCUUAACACAUGCAAGUCGAACGGAAAGGCCUUGUGCUUGCACAAGGUACUCGAGUGGCGAACGGGUGAGUAACACGUGGGCGAUCUGCCCUGCACUGUGGGAUAAGCCCGGGAAACUGGGUCUAAUACCAUAUAGGACCACUUCUUGGAUGUUGUGGUGGAAAGCUUUUGCGGUGUGGGAUGAGCCUGCGGCCUAUCAGCUUGUUGGUGGGGUAAUGGCCUACCAAGGCGGCGACGGGUAUCCGGCCUGAGAGGGUGUACGGACACAUUGGGACUGAGAUACGGCCCAGACUCCUACGGGAGGCAGAAGUGGGGAAUAUUGCACAAUGGGCGCAAGCCUGAUGCAGCGACGCCGCGUGGGGGAUGACGGCCUUCGGGUUGUAAACUCCUUUCGCUAUCGACGAAGCCACCUUGGGUGGUGACGGUAGGUAGAUAAGAAGCACCGGCUAACUACGUGCCAGCAGCCGCCGUAA